GCUUGUCUCAAAGAUUAAGCCAUGCAUGUCUAAGUAUAAACAAAUCUAUACUGUGAAACUGCGAAUGGCUCAUUAUAUCAGUUAUAGUUUAUUUGAUGGUCCUUGCUACUUGGAUAACCGUAGUAAUUCUAGAGCUAAUACAUGCAUCAAGCCCCGACUUCUGGAAGGGGUGUAUUUAUUAGAUGGAAACCAAUGCAGGGCAACCUGGAAUAUGGUGAUUCAUAAUAACUCGCGGAUCGGUUUACCGAUGCAUCAUUCAAGUUUCUGCCCUAUCAGCUUUGGAUGGUAGGGUAUUGGCCUACCAUGGCUUUAACGGGUAACGGAGAAUUAGGGUUCGAUUCCGGAGAGGGAGCCUGAGAAAUGGCUACCACAUCCAAGGAAGGCAGCAGG
RNAcentral lists this ribosomal RNA (390 nucleotides) under uncultured Chrysophyceae. Its description in RNAcentral is "partial small subunit ribosomal RNA". It matches the Rfam family "Eukaryotic small subunit ribosomal RNA", at positions 30 to 432 of the family's 1831-position model. Lineage: Eukaryota; Chrysophyceae. The record is from RNAcentral.